This is a non-coding RNA of Pelobates cultripes (western spadefoot toad), 1105 nucleotides long. The record is from the annotation of a GenBank genome assembly. Lineage: Eukaryota; Metazoa; Chordata; Amphibia; Anura; Pelobatidae.
GUUUUAUUUCAUUCACGUUUAUUAACGUGACAUUACGUUUCAGGAAAAAAACAAAAACAUGUACAUAAUUUUUUUCCCCCCUACUCUUGACAAAAGGCAGAGCUAUCCAAGGUACCCUUAUGCAUGCACGUGAGUAGAGCGCUUCCGUUGGUUCCUGGCAGAUGAAGCGCCAGGAGCUGAAGAGGACCUUGAGAAAGAAGAUGCAUACAAAGGACAUUUUAAGUCAAGUAAAAUCUACCUUCACCUGCCCUCCCUGGCCACUGGAAUACAAGUGGAACAGUGACAGUCUGGGGUCUUUGCAAAAUAUGCAAAAUACAUAAAUAAAAUAUCAUUAAAAGAUGAAGUGCUUUAGGGGUCUGUCGUAAUCUCAGAAUUGGGUAUUAUGAACCUGUUGAAUUCCUGCAGAACCACAAGUCAUAGAUGAUACACAACGAUCCUCUUGUUAAACAGAACGAUUUUCUGCAUCCCGAACUGGGACACCAAACUCUGAAACUUGAUCUGGAAUGGAGAAAACAGUCUCACAUAUAAUGAAUUAAACCGGGUAAAACUGGGGCUUUAUAUCUGGCAGUGUUUAGGAGAUACGGUCACAGUAUGAGCAGUGUUUAGGAGAUACGGUCACAGUGUGAGCAGUGUUUAGGAGAUACGGUCACAGUAUGAGCAGUGUUUAGGAGGUACAGUCACAGUAUAAGCAGUGUUUAGGUGAUACGGUCACAGUAUGAGCAGUGUUUAGGAGAUACGGUCACAGUGUGAGCAGUGUUUAGGAGAUACUGUCACAGUAUAAGCAGUGUUUAGGAGGUACAGUCACAGUAUGAGCAGUGUUUAGGAGAUACGGUCACAGUAUGAGCAGUGUUUAGGAGAUACGGUCACAGUGUGAGCAGUGUUUAGGAGAUACGGUCACAGUAUGAGCAGUGUUUAGGAGAUACGGUCACAGUAUGAGCAGUGUUUAGGUGAUACGGUCACAGUAUGAGCAGUGUUUAGGAGAUACGGUCACAGUGUGAGCAGUGUUUAGGAGAUACGGUCACAGUAUGAGCAGUGUUUAGGAGGUACGGUCACAGUGUGAGCAGUGUUUAGGAGAUACGGUCACAGUAUGAGCAGUGUUUAGGUG